RNAcentral lists this ribosomal RNA (483 nucleotides) under uncultured bacterium. RNAcentral describes it as "partial 16S ribosomal RNA". It matches the Rfam family "Bacterial small subunit ribosomal RNA", at positions 28 to 507 of the family's 1533-position model. The record is from RNAcentral.
GACGAACGCUGGCGGCGUGCCUAACACAUGCAAGUCGAGCGGGGAUUUAAGUGGAAGUUCUUCGGAAUGGAGAUUUAAAUUCUAGCGGCGGACGGGUGAGUAACGCGUGAACAAUCUGUCCCGGACAGGGGGAUAACACUUGGAAACAGGUGCUAAUACCGCAUAAGACCACGGCCUCGCAUGGGGCUGAGGUAAAAGGAGCAAUCCGGUUCGGGGUGAGUUCGCGUCCGAUUAGCUAGUUGGUGAGGUAACGGCCCACCAAGGCGACGAUCGGUAGCCGGCCUGAGAGGGUGAACGGCCACAUUGGAACUGAGAGACGGUCCAAACGCCUACGGGAGGCAGCAGUGGGGAAUAUUGGGCAAUGGGCGAAAGCCUGACCCAGCAACGCCGCGUGAGGGAAGAAGGUUUUCGGAUUGUAAACCUCUGUCCUAUGGGACGAAGGAAGUGACGGUACCAUAGGGGGAAGCCCCGGCUAACUACGUG